Molecule: ribosomal RNA, 542 nt
Filed under: uncultured bacterium
Lineage: Bacteria
Description: bacterial SSU rRNA
Rfam family: Bacterial small subunit ribosomal RNA
Source: RNAcentral
AGUCAAUAGAUACCCUGGUAGUCCAUGCCGUAAACGAUGAUUGCUAGGUGUGGGGGGUCUGACCCCUUCCGUGCCGGAGUUAAACACAAUAAGCAAUCCACCUGGGGAGUACGGCCGCAAGGUUGAAACUCAAAGGAAUUGACGGGGGCCCGCACAAGCAGUGGAGUAUGUGGUUUAAAUUCGAAGCAACGCGAAGAACCUUACCAGGUCUUGACAUCCACCGAAUCCUGUAGAGAUACGGGAGUGCCCUUCGGGGAACGGUGAGACAGGUGGUGCAUGGUUGUCGUCAGCUCGUGUCGUGAGAUGUUGGGUUAAGUCCCGCAACGAGCGCAACCCUUGUGAAUAGCUGCUACGAAAGAGCACUCUAUUCAGACCGCCGUUGACAAAACGGAGGAAGGUGGGGAUGACGUCAAAUCAUCAUGCCCCUUAUGACCUGGGCUACACACGUACUACAAUGGCCGUUAACAGAGGGAUGCAAUGCCGCGAAGUGGAGCGAACCCCUAAAAACGGUCUCAGUUCAGAUUGCAGGCUGAAACUCGCCU